This is a long non-coding RNA of Hevea brasiliensis (rubber tree), 298 nucleotides long. RefSeq lists it as uncharacterized. The transcript has 2 exons. NCBI's taxonomy places the organism in Eukaryota, Viridiplantae, Streptophyta, Magnoliopsida, Malpighiales, Euphorbiaceae. The record is from RefSeq and is a predicted model, not a curated record.
AAAUUAUCAGGUGAGCCGGGACAGCCUUCUUCCUCCGCCCAGCCGCCUCAGUGACCACCGUCAAGUCUGCCACAGGAGGAUAUUUUUGAGGUUAACCUGCUUUUCUCCCUCGCAGGUCAUUUAUUUAUGUUUGUGUAAUUCUAUAAACUCCUAGAAUUUUCGCAUGUGUUAGAAAUAUUUAUUUGAUUUGGGUCUGUAAACUAAAUUAUUAUUGUGGACCUGUAAAAUUAUUAUAUGCAUGUUUGAUGGACUGGAUGAGGGAGCUGAGCUCCCAUUUAUCUUUAUGAUGAUAUGAGUA